RNAcentral lists this long non-coding RNA (219 nucleotides) under Musa acuminata (dwarf banana). RNAcentral describes it as "long non-coding RNA (MACU_LNC005797)". The record is from RNAcentral. Lineage: Eukaryota; Viridiplantae; Streptophyta; Magnoliopsida; Zingiberales; Musaceae.
UAUUCUUUUCGUAACAGUGCCCAAAGCCUCUUAGAACUAACAUCAAAGUUACCUUUCUUCCAGACUCCAACUAAAAAUACGCAUAUGACGCCGAUUUCUUUUGUCGAAAGCCAAUGGCUUUAUAAGAUUCUUUAACUUUUCUUGUGAACCACACCAGCAAACUUAUUUAUGCAUUCAUUUGGGCAAUAUAGUAGAUAUAACAUCUUGAUCAGUUCCACA